GCAUUGCUGAGGAGUCCCAUACUAAGAGGAAACAGCCGUCCAAUAC
This 46-nucleotide non-coding RNA is filed under the name Schistosoma mansoni. The record is from RNAcentral. Lineage: Eukaryota; Metazoa; Platyhelminthes; Trematoda; Strigeidida; Schistosomatidae.